ACGAACGUUGGCGGCGUGCUUAACAAAUGCAAGUCGAACGGAAAGGCCCUGCUUUUGUGGGGUGCUCGAGUGGCGAACGGGUGAGUAACACGUGAGUAACCUGCCCUUGACUUUGGGAUAACUUCAGGAAACUGGGGCUAAUACCGGAUAGGAGCUCCUGCUGCAUGGUGGGGGUUGGAAAGUUUCGGCGGUUGGGGAUGGACUCGCGGCUUAUCAGCUUGUUGGUGGGGUAGUGGCUUACCAAGGCUUUGACGGGUAGCCGGCCUGAGAGGGGGACCGGCCACAGUGGGACUGAGAUACGGCCCAGACUCCUACGGGAGGCAGCAGUGGGGAAUAUUGCACAAUGGGCGGAAGCCUGAUGCAGCAACGCCGCGUGCGGGAUGACGGCCUUCGGGUUGUAAACCGCUUUCGCCUGUGACGAAGCGUGAGUGACGGUAAUGGGUAAAGAAGCACCGGCUAACUACGUG
This 467-nucleotide ribosomal RNA is filed under the name uncultured bacterium. RNAcentral describes it as "partial 16S ribosomal RNA". It matches the Rfam family "Bacterial small subunit ribosomal RNA", at positions 29 to 507 of the family's 1533-position model. The record is from RNAcentral.